This 1404-nucleotide long non-coding RNA is filed under the name Oryctolagus cuniculus (rabbit). RNAcentral describes it as "lncRNA (ENSOCUG00000034923.1)". The record is from RNAcentral. Lineage: Eukaryota; Metazoa; Chordata; Mammalia; Lagomorpha; Leporidae.
AUGUGUCUAUUGUGUCUAUGUGUCUGCAUGUGUGUCUCUGUAGGUGUCUGUGUGUGUGUCUCUGUACAUGUCUGCGUGUGUAUAUCUGUAGGUCUAUGUGUGUCUAUUGUGUGUGUCUAUGUGUAUCUGCAUGUGUGUCUAUGUGUGCCUAUUGUGUGUGUUCUCUGUGUGUCUGUCUCUGUAGCUGUCUGUGUGUCUAUUGUGUGUCUGUGUCUAUGUGUGUCUGUGUGUGUGUCUCUGUGUGUGUAUAUCUGUUGGUGUCUAUGUGUGUGUCUAUGUGUCUGCAUGUGUCUGUGUCUAUUGUGUAUGUUUUGUGUGCCUGUUGUGUGUCUGUGUGUUUCUGUAUGUGUGUAUCCGUGUGUCUGCUACGGCUGUGUCUGUUGCAUGUCUAUGUGUGUCUGUAUUUUGUGCAUCUGUGUCUGUUGUGUGUGUUUGUGCAUGUGUGUAUCUGUGGGUCUAUGUGUGUUUGUGUGUGUCUGUGGGUGUAUCUGUGUGUGUUUUGUGUCUGUGUCUGUUGUGUGUGUGUGUAGCUGUGGGUCUAUGUGUAUCUAUGUCUGCUGUAUGUCUCUGUGGGUCUAUGUGUGUUUGUAUGUGUGUCUAUAUGUAUGCGUCUGUGUGUCUGUGGGUGUAUCUGUGUGUCUGUGCAUGUCUGCAAACCCACAUUACAGGACUGGAGGCAGAACUGAAACCUUCCAGAAAGAUUCAGUAGGGCAGGGGAGGGAGGAGACAGAGGCUGCCCAAACCGUAGCCCUGGAAACCAGAGAGGCUUUACUUCCAGCAGGGACCUCGCUGGCUCCUGGAGGACCCUGGAGGAUGAGGAGAGCUGACUGUGCACCCCCCACUGCUGGGCUGCCCCUCUCGCUGCACCCUGAGUGUGGGCAGGGGGAGGGGGCAUCUCCAGCCUGGCUUCAGAGCUGUGGUUUGCAGCAGACGCACUGCAGGGAGCGAGCCGAGUUCCUGAGAAGGGACCGAUGCAGCUCACAGGGACUGCCCUGCCCCCCAACUCCCCAACCCCACUCCUCACACCCCCACCCUGGCCUGUGCUUGCUGUCCACACUGUCCCAGACCCCUGGGGGUGGCCUGGGGGGGCAGCUCCUCCUGUGUGGCUGCAGCAGAGGAAGAGUAGACGCCACACACCCCCUGCCUCCUCCCACUCCGGCCAGAAGUCUUCCCUGGGGCAGUGGGGCAGCCUGGGCUCCCCUGGAGCCCUGGCCAGGGAUGUUCCUAGAGUCAACUUCCUUGCAGGUGCUGUGCAGCAGGAGGCGCCGUUGGGCUCCCCUGGGUGUGGGCUCCGGAGGUCCCUGGGUGAGCUCAGCCCUCAGGGGCUGGUUUUCAGGGAGUCCCUGCUGUCCACUCUCGGCUGACCCCUCUCGGGCUCAGAGUCACAACCUCCUCCCCAUCUGA